UGUGGGAGCGGGCUUGCCCGCGAUAGCGAUGUGUCUGUCACCCACAAUGUUGAAUGUGACGCCGCCAUCGCGGGCAAGCCCGCUCCCACG
This 90-nucleotide unclassified non-coding RNA is filed under the name Pseudomonas arsenicoxydans. Lineage: Bacteria; Pseudomonadati; Pseudomonadota; Gammaproteobacteria; Pseudomonadales; Pseudomonadaceae. The record is from RNAcentral.